This 253-nucleotide ribosomal RNA is filed under the name uncultured bacterium. Its description in RNAcentral is "partial 16S ribosomal RNA". It matches the Rfam family "Bacterial small subunit ribosomal RNA", at positions 524 to 776 of the family's 1533-position model. The record is from RNAcentral.
GACGUAGGGGGCCAGCGUUGCUCGGAAUUACUGGGCGUAAAGCGUGCGCAGGCGGUUUUGUAAGACAGAGGGGAAAUCCCCGGGCUCAACCUGGGAACUGCCUUUGUGACUGCAAGGCUUGAGUGCGGCAGAGGGGGAUGGAAUUCCGCGUGUAGCAGUGAAAUGCGUAGAUAUGCGGAGGAACACCGAUGGCGAAGGCAAUCCCCUGGGCCUGCACUGACGCUCAUGCACGAAAGCGUGGGGAGCAAACAGG